Molecule: ribosomal RNA, 444 nt
Filed under: uncultured bacterium
Lineage: Bacteria
Description: bacterial SSU rRNA
Rfam family: Bacterial small subunit ribosomal RNA
Source: RNAcentral
AACGCGAAGAACCUUACCUGGGCUCGAAAUGCAGGAGACCGGGGUAGAAAUAUCCCUUUCUCGCAAGAGACUGCUGUAUAGGUGCUGCAUGGCUGUCGUCAGCUCGUGUCGUGAGAUGUUGGGUUAAGUCCCGCAACGAGCGCAACCCUUGUCCUGUGUUGCCACUCCCGUAAGGGAAGCACUCUCAGGAGACCGCCAGCGAUAAGUUGGAGGAAGGUGGUGAUGAUGUCAAGUCAUCAUGGCCUUUAUGUCCAGGGCUACACACGUGCUACAAUGGACGGUACAAAGCGCUGCAAACCCGCGAGGGGGAGCCAAUCGCAAAAAACCGUUCUCAGUUCGGAUCGCAGGCUGCAACUCGCCUGCGUGAAGCUGGAAUCGCUAGUAAUGGCGUAUUCAGAACGAUGCCGUGAAUACGUUCCCGGGCCUUGUACACACCGACGCGUA